This 298-nucleotide ribosomal RNA is filed under the name Cutibacterium avidum. RNAcentral's name for it is "partial 16S ribosomal RNA". It matches the Rfam family "Bacterial small subunit ribosomal RNA", at positions 1 to 298 of the family's 1533-position model. Lineage: Bacteria; Bacillati; Actinomycetota; Actinomycetes; Propionibacteriales; Propionibacteriaceae. The record is from RNAcentral.
UUUUCAUUGGAGAGUUUGAUCCUGGCUCAGGACGAACGCUGGCGGCGUGCUUAACACAUGCAAGUCGAACGGAAAGGCCCCUUUGGGGGUACUCGAGUGGCGAACGGGUGAGUAACACGUGAGUAACCUGCCCUUGACUUCGGGAUAACUUCAGGAAACUGGGGCUAAUACCGGAUAGGAAUCCUUGCUGCAUGGUGGGGGUUGGAAAGCUUCGGCGGUUUUGGAUGGACUCGCGGCUUAUCAGCUUGUUGGUGGGGUAGUGGCUUACCAAGGCUUUGACGGGUAGCCGGCCUGAGAG